GAAGUAAAGUCGUACAGGUUCGUAGUGAACUGCGGAGGAUCAUC
RNAcentral lists this ribosomal RNA (44 nucleotides) under uncultured fungus. RNAcentral's name for it is "partial 18S ribosomal RNA". Lineage: Eukaryota; Fungi. The record is from RNAcentral.